AUUAUUAUUAACAUCCUUUUUUUUACGUUCGGGCCGUUCCUCGUUUUAAACGUUUUAUUAAUUUUCUUUUGGUUAUUAUUUUCCGUAAUUUGUUUGUUAUUUUAUUAACAAUUUUUGCGCGUUAUAAUUGGUUUUUUAAAAACGCCGAACCUUCGGUAAUUUGUAAUAUAACCCCGAGUACCAAUAAAAUCGGUAUAAGGCCGUUUGGGUUUAUAAUAUUAUUUAUCGUUUUUACCGCCGUUUAUAAUAUCGCCGGCGGUAUUAUAUUUUUACAUUCGACCCUAAUAAUUUCGUACGUUUUCCGUAACGGUUUAUAAUAACGUUUAAUUUUAUUUAAUAAUUAAUACGUUUCGAUUGGUAUUUGGUUGCAUAUUAUACCGAAAAACGUGUUUUUGAUUUGAAAUUUAAAACAGCAAUAUUGGUGCCUAAAUUGUAAAUAACAAUAUUUGGUAAUUCCAAAUACAUAUUUGUUUAAUAUUUUUUUAAUACCUCCCUCAUUCUUUUAACCGAUAUAUUAUUUGAAAAACGUAUUGUUUAAAAUGCAAUAUUCGCGUUAAUUAUAUAUAAAACCGGUUUGGAGUCCAAAUAUAAAAUAUCGAGGACAAUUUUAUAAUUGAAAUUUAUAUCGUUUUUCAAAAUAAAUUUAAAACGUUAUGGGACGUUCUUUUUAACUUGGCGAUGGUGGUAAAAGCGGUUUAUUAAUUUUAAUAUAUCCUGGUUUAUUUCGUGGUUUUUAUUUUAUAAUAUUUUUUAUAAAUAUUUUAUUAAUGGAUGGCCGAAUUUUCGAUAUAUUGUUCGCAAUUUUCUUUUAUUAGGAAAACUAUUAUUAUAUUUACGUUUUUUGUAAAAUAUAUCGCCGGUUUUUUCGGCUCCGUUCCAAAUAAAUAAAAUUAUAAAUGUCCCCAUUUGCGUAAAAUCGGUAUUUUAAUAUUAUUAAUUCUUACAAAUU
RNAcentral lists this small RNA (949 nucleotides) under Pyricularia oryzae. RNAcentral's name for it is "Magnaporthe oryzae sRNA M_BR32_EuGene_00030831". The record is from RNAcentral. Lineage: Eukaryota; Fungi; Ascomycota; Sordariomycetes; Magnaporthales; Pyriculariaceae.